Molecule: long non-coding RNA, 375 nt
Organism: Hyla sarda
Lineage: Eukaryota; Metazoa; Chordata; Amphibia; Anura; Hylidae
Exons: 3
Source: RefSeq, a predicted model, not a curated record
AUGAAAUCCAGCUCAUCGAUGCUGUCCAUGACAGUGCCGGACUGAUCCUUACUGUGACCAAGUAGAUAGUAAUCCAAGGAGAAAACUGAUCCACCAUACGACCCCGUUCCAAGGUUGAAUUUCACCCAAUGGAAGGACGCCUUUCAGGUGUCCCUUCCAAUCACUAGACAGGAGAACCACUGGUGAUAAAAAUCAAUGUAUCCAGACAGAGAAUGAUGGCCAAGAACCACAGCUCCUGUACUGUGCAGGAAGUAAUGAUCAAUGCUGGAGUAUUAAAUGACAAGAAGAUCUGCAGGUCUGGAAGAAGAAAUGAACAGUGGUAACUAGAAGAACAGCCGUGUCUUCUCUUAUGACUUUUGUUGGGUUACCAGCCAG